CUGUUAGUGAAAAAUCAGAUUAUGACAUAGGUGUCUAGUUCCAUUCUUCAAGACGCUCAUCAGGCCUAAAGUUUAAAGUAAUUGCCACAAAGAAACAAUGG
This is a long non-coding RNA of Corticium candelabrum, 101 nucleotides long. RefSeq lists it as uncharacterized. The transcript is spliced from 3 exons. Lineage: Eukaryota; Metazoa; Porifera; Homoscleromorpha; Homosclerophorida; Plakinidae. The record is from RefSeq and is a predicted model, not a curated record.